RNAcentral lists this ribosomal RNA (253 nucleotides) under uncultured bacterium. RNAcentral describes it as "partial 16S ribosomal RNA". It matches the Rfam family "Bacterial small subunit ribosomal RNA", at positions 524 to 776 of the family's 1533-position model. The record is from RNAcentral.
UACGUAGGGGGCAAGCGUUGUCCGGAAUCAUUGGGCGUAAAGCGCGCGUAGGCGGCUCGGAAAGUCGGUCGUGAAAUGCCGGGGCUCAACCCCGGGACUGCGUCCGAUACUUCCGGGCUGGAGGUAGGUAGGGGAGAUCGGAAUUCCUGGUGUAGCGGUGAAAUGCGUAGAUAUCGAGAGGAACACCUGCGGCGAAGGCGGGUUGCUGGGCUGACACUGACGCUGAAGCGCGAAAGCUAGGGGAGCGAACGGG